UACGAAGGGGGCUAGCGUUGCUCGGAAUCACUGGGCGUAAAGGGUGCGUAGGCGGGUCUUUAAGUCAGGGGUGAAAUCCUGGAGCUCAACUCCAGAACUGCCUUUGAUACUGAAGAUCUUGAGUUCGGGAGAGGUGAGUGGAACUGCGAGUGUAGAGGUGAAAUUCGUAGAUAUUCGCAAGAACACCCGUGGCUAAGGCGGCUCUCUAGUACGGUACUGACGCUGAGACGCGAAAGCGUGGGGAGCGAACAGG
This 253-nucleotide ribosomal RNA is filed under the name uncultured bacterium. RNAcentral's name for it is "partial 16S ribosomal RNA". It matches the Rfam family "Bacterial small subunit ribosomal RNA", at positions 524 to 776 of the family's 1533-position model. The record is from RNAcentral.